RNAcentral lists this ribosomal RNA (253 nucleotides) under uncultured bacterium. RNAcentral describes it as "partial 16S ribosomal RNA". It matches the Rfam family "Bacterial small subunit ribosomal RNA", at positions 524 to 776 of the family's 1533-position model. The record is from RNAcentral.
UACGAAGGGGGCUAGCGUUGCUCGGAAUCACUGGGCGUAAAGGGUGCGUAGGCGGGUCUUUAAGUCGGGGGUGAAAUCCCGAGGCUCAACCUCGGAACUGCCUUCGAUACUGCGGGUCUCGAGUUCGGGAGAGGUGAGUGGAAUUCCUAGUGUAGAGGUGAAAUUCGUAGAUAUUAGGAAGAACACCAGUGGCGAAGGCGGCUCACUGGCCCGGUACUGACGCUGAGGCGCGAAAGCGUGGGGAGCAAACAGG